UCCACACACCCAACACAUAGUACUUACUCAAACACCACCGAAUACCGAAAACAGACGCACAACGCGACGCAAACACAACCGCAACCAGGCCACCGGGUACGGCGGCCCGGCGACACUACCUUUGUCUUGCCACAGGUUUCCUUUUCUCUUUUUCUGCCGAUUCCGAUGAUACCACUAUAGGGAGGAGUCUUUAGAGCUAAGCAAACUGAAACAGGGAUGAUGAUAGUACGACGACAACAAGAGAAAAAGGAGGAGCUAGGGGAACCUAACUAUCUGACCCGCUUUCCAGCA
Molecule: long non-coding RNA, 291 nt
Filed under: Hordeum vulgare
Lineage: Eukaryota; Viridiplantae; Streptophyta; Magnoliopsida; Poales; Poaceae
Description: long non-coding RNA (HVUL_LNC010940)
Source: RNAcentral